RNAcentral lists this long non-coding RNA (381 nucleotides) under Sander lucioperca (pikeperch). RNAcentral's name for it is "lncRNA (ENSSLUG00000014545.1)". The record is from RNAcentral. Lineage: Eukaryota; Metazoa; Chordata; Actinopteri; Perciformes; Percidae.
AUUCUGGGCAAAAUGAAGCUGAAAGGCUGAAUGCUUGCCUGGGUGAAGCGAUAUGUGAUGGAGGUACAAUCCAGUGGCAGAUCUUUUCUGAGACCCAUGGUUUGACAGAAACUGACAUAUCCACAAUGACCAGAUCAUUCCUUGAGGAUCAUGCACAAAGGAUGAUGGAAAACAAUGCUUGAGCUGUGGCAGAAGAAGUCAGACUCAGAAUUGACCAGUCACCACCAGCAGGAUUUACCAGAGCGUUUACUGUGGAAAAACCAGAACUACAGUUCUUCUACAACCGUGAGUAUCUACAGCGGUACAUGACGAGUUGCAAGACCCAGAGAUCAGCUGUUCCAGGCCAUAAUUACUUUCAGAAGAUAGAAAACUUCAUUGACA